RNAcentral lists this ribosomal RNA (301 nucleotides) under uncultured bacterium. RNAcentral's name for it is "partial 16S ribosomal RNA". It matches the Rfam family "Bacterial small subunit ribosomal RNA", at positions 509 to 807 of the family's 1533-position model. The record is from RNAcentral.
CAGUAGCCGCGGGAAUACGUAGGUGGCAAGCGUUGUCCGGAAUUAUUGGGCGUAAAGGGCUCGCAGGCGGUUUCUUAAGUCUGAUGUGAAAGCCCCCGGCUCAACCGGGGAGGGUCAUUGGAAACUGGGAAACUUGAGUGCAGAAGAGGAGAGUGGAAUUCCGCGUGUAGCGGUGAAAUGCGUAGAGAUGUGGAGGAACACCAGUGGCGAAGGCGACUCUCUGGUCUGUAACUGACGCUGAGGAGCGAAAGCGUGGGGAGCGAACAGGAUUAGAUACCCCGGUAGUCCCUGUCUCUUAUAC